ACAGAGAUACGCUGCAUACUCGGUUGGGUAGCUCCCACGAGUGCCACUCCGGAGACGGGCGCUGUGCUUUCGCGUUAGCGUCGCUCAUGCCGGUUGGACUUGCUCUCCACGGACUAGUAGUGUGGAGGUAGCUGGAUAAUCACAACCGGGCAGUGACGGGUGUGUUCACAGUCCCAGGGACGGGUAUGCUUACAGUUCCGAUUGGAUUGGGUCAGAUUUGACAUUUCCUACAGUUGGUUAGUAUAGAGCAUGAUAGUGUAGUGAUUCAUAGCGGUAGAUUUUAUUCCUGUAUUUACUACUAUCCUGGCUCCCUUCUGUAGAUUUAGUGGGUGGACCGAUGUUGUUUAGGGCGGCACCCACUGAGGACUAGUUUUUACAGUAGUUCUCACGCCCAGUCGUUACCCCUGUUUUGCAGAGCCACAGGUUUCGGCUGCUGCGCCUUCCGCGGAUCAGGAUCGAGGCAAGGGCGUCGCGAGUUAGAGCCCUACCCGACGAGCUGAGCUAGAGGCACUCCUACUGCAGGUAGACGUUUUGUUUCGAGUUUAUGUACAUAGCAUACUUAACUCGCCAGUGCGAGUAGCUCUGUAUUUUGGAUUUGGGCUAUGUACAUGAAACUCAGUUUGUUUAGUAUUUGUCUACUCGAGCAGCUCUAUACUACUGUUUGUAGUAUUGUAUGUUUACAGGUACUGUUGUCGCUUUGUAUACAGGAGAAAUUCCUUUGUAUACGGCGGAUUUGUCGACGUGCCCGGGGAACGAGACAUCCGGGGCGUGACAAUAGUUCACACAGAGGGAGCUGACCUGACGGCAGCCGCCGGUGCGUGUGGAGUUAUGAAGGACUAUGGACAUUAGUAUUCAGUAUAUCCCGGCAGGGCGACAUGUGCCUGUGGCAAUGCGGUUGAGCAGAGGAAUAUCAGUGCAGAGCCUGAGUUUAGUAUCACCUGAGCAGUAAGACCCCCUACUCGAGGGAGCUUCAGCGGUGUGGGAUCGAGAUGUACCCCCUGAGUCUACGGCGGAGUGCUGAGCGUCUCUAGUUUUACAAUCACCCGUGUUGGAUAGAUCAGAGAGAAACAGAGUGAGAGAUCCGUACUUGUUGAGGAUUAGAGAGCAGCUAGACAGGGGCAUGCUGCAGGGUUUCUGCUUUAGACAGUUCAGGAGUACUACGGUACAGGACCGACUGUGUGUGCCUUGUGAUUUUCUGAGAUUCGAGUAUACAUUCUGAGAGAGGCUAUUUGUUCUCUGUAUACGGUUCACCCUGGGGAACCAAGAUGUAUAAGGAAUCUUACGGCACGGUUCUGGUGAGCUUGGCAAUGGAAGAGGGACAUUGCAGAUUUGUGUUCAGGUUUCGACUUGCCAACAGGUGAAACGAAGCAAUCAGGUGCCUGUGGCAAGCUUCAGAGUCUGCAGGCCCGAGUGGAAGUACGGUAGUACAUCACGAUGGAUUCGCGUGUGGAUUGCCUAGAGCGCAGUGUGCUACGACGGCAGAUUUGGGUGAUAGUGACAGACUUUACCAAGUCGUGCUCACUUACCUACCGGUUCCACUACUAGUCCACGCAGAGAUACUCGCGCAGCUAUACUGGAUGAGAUGUUUAUGCUGCACCGUGACGUGCAGUGUCGAUUGUUGUCAGACAGAGACCGAGCGUUUGUUAUCCUUAGUGUUUGGGGACUUCAAGCCGCCUUGGGCACUCAGCUGCCAUUUUAGCACGGCUCCAGCCCAACAGACAGAUGGUCAGUCGAGCGACCAUACAGACUCUAGGGACAUGCUGAGGGACGCGUCUCUAGUAUUUUGAGGAGGGUGAUAUCGACAAUUGUGAGGACUGGUUGAGUUUGCGUACCAAAACAGCUAUCAAACAGCAAUUCAGUGCUCUCGUUGAGGCGAUGUAUGGACGCAGAUGUCGAUCCCCCUAUUUCUGGGAGCGAUGUGGCCGUGAGCCGGUAGGACACUUGGACAGGGACAUCUACUUGAGCUUGAGGAAAAGGGUGAGAGUUGCUUCGACGACACCUUUUAGAACCAGAGCGCGCCAGAGGAGAGCUACGCGAUACCAGGAGACGAGACUUUAGAGUUUCAGAUUGAGAGAUCACUGGUUUUCUCAACGCUCGUCGUCCACAGAGCGAUACGCGAUUUGGGGUACAUGGAAAGCUCAGUCACGUCUUUGUUGGGCGGGCCGUGUUAUCGAAGAUAUUGACACGAGUUGGACUGGUCUUGCUUACGAAUGAGCUCUAGCCCGGCGACUUGCUGGCCUCCACGAUGGUUUUCAGUCUCAAGCUUUGAGAGAUUCAUUUCGAUCCUCUCACCGGUGAUCGACUUUUACCACUCGAGAUUGGCAGAGGUAUCUGAGAUUACGAGGAGCGGACCCGUUGCGGAUUCUGCUCGGAGGCACGAAAGAAUUACCGCAACCGGCAUCAUUUCCGUAUGUUGAAAGUUGCCAGUGGAGCAUAUCGAGAGCGGGAGCGCAUUGGGAAGCUGAGACAGAUGAGAUGAGCGAGUAUCUUUACCCAACUUGUUUGAUCUUUUCAAGUUGAGUAUGUGCUAAGUUUCGCGGACCGAAACUUUUGUCAGUGGAGGGACGAAUGAUAUAUAUCUGAUUAUAUAUAUAUAUAUAUAUAUAUAUAUAUAUAUUAUUAUAUAUAUUAUAAUAUAUAUAUAUAUUAUAUAUAUAUAAUAAUAUUAUAUUUUUUUAUAUUAAUGCCCCACGAUAGCCCCCAUGCAUGUAUUUCAUGCUUAGUCUAAUUAGGGGUUGUACAUAGCCUCCUUAAUGGAAAUUAUCCUCCCUCUUCUGUCUCUGGAGCCAAGCGGAGGAGGAGGCAGUGGGAUGGAGCGGUUCGUCGCCGACAUCGCAUCGCCGAGCCGUCUUGAGCGCACGUCUGUGUCGCGUAAGCGUCGCGUGGAGGCCGGCGACGAGGGUGACGUUUUCGCCGUCCUCGCACGUCACACCGGCUUGUGAUUCGCUGUCGAUCUUCGACCGGUCAGUGUUGUUCGGCUGCGUAUUAGCGUAGAACGUCGGUAUUUCAACGGGGAUUAGGUUGUUGGAUUCAGGAAUUCGACGGAACCGAAAUCCACGAAAGCCCUUAUUGUGCUGGAUUUGUGUGUGAAGGGUUUUUCUUAGGUCGUAUCCCUAUUUCUUCUGCUGCUGUGUUUUGGGCAGAAUUUGAAUGCUUACUUAUGUGAUUUCUAUGUUAUAACCCGUGCGAGCGUUCGUUGUCGCUGGUUCGGGACUGCGCCAGCUGUUGAUACGGAACUCCGGUGGCACCUUCUUCACCAUCGGUGAUUUGCGAUAAGGUGGGGUUAAUCAUCGGUGUUACUCCUAAGUGGCUAUGAUAAUCGACAUGUAAUUUGGAAUAUCUUGUGUUGGCGCAAUUGCUCGAGGUUCCAUUGAUUUAGUUAUCGGUUAAUUAUCUGAAUUGGAACUGAGUUAUUAUCUUUGAUAUAUAUAUAAUAAUGUUUGGACUUGAUAAGAUUUAGGAGAAAACUCGCGAUUAUAUCGUCAUAUAUUUGAAACUAAACCUGAUUUAGCUCUAGAAGCUCAUGUAUUAUUGUAUACGUGUAGCAGUAUCCUAUAGGUGAGUAUUUUGUUAAUUUUUUUUUUUUUUUUUUUUUUUUUUUUCCAAGAUAGUUUAGCUUUCAGUUACGUCGUGCCAGGGAGAUGCGAGAUUAUUUUUACCAGUAGGUUCAACUGUUCCGGUACUGUUGGGUGCCGUCGGUGUUCGUUAUGACGGAUGGACCACGUAUCGCACUUUUGGGGCUCGAUUGUGACGAGGCACGUUACUAUUGGUUGUUAGACCAGUUUGAGUCCGCGUUUGACUGGACUUUGCUUUUGAGAGCGUUAGCUGCGCUCGACAGAGAUACGCCCUGUAUACUCGGUUGGUAGCCCACGAGUACCACUCCGGGAGACGAGCGCCUGUGCUUUCGCAGUUAGUGUCGUCAUGCCGGAUUGGACUUGCUUCACGGUAUAGUAGUGUGGAGGCUAGCUGAUAAUCACCACGGGCAGUGACGCGGUGCUGUUCACCAGUCCCAGGGACGGGUCAUGCUUACAAGUUUACAUUGCGAUGUGGGCAGAUUUGCAUUUCUACAGCUUGGUUAGUAUAGAGCAUCGAGUGUAGUGCAUUCAUAGCGGCUAGAUUUUAUUCCUGUACUUUACUACUAUUCUCGGCUCCCUUCUGUAGAUUUAGUGGGUGGACCGAUAUUGUUUAGGCGCGGGCACCACUGAGGACUACUUGUUUUUACAGUGGAGUUCUCCCACGCCCAGUCGUUUACCCUGUUUUGCAGAGCCCACAGGUUUCGGCCUUCUUCUUCUUCUUCUCUCUCUAGAAAAUGUAGGGAGAGGGUGAGAAUGAGAGAAUGAGAGAGGGAAGAGGAGGAAAUGGCUAAUAAGCCCAUCUAAUGUAACAAAAUCCAGUGAGGCCCCUCAAAAAUCCAAAAUUGCAUCAGCCCGAACUGGGCAGUUUUCGCCCAGAGGGACCGGUCUCUCCCCAGCAGGGACCGGUCUCUCGCUGCGAACCCGAAAAACCAGCGUUCGGGAACCGGUCUCUCCCUGCGCGGGACCGGUCUCUCACUGCGAAGACGCGUUCGGGAACCGGUCUCGCCUGCCAGGGACCGGUUGCCUCAGGCUGCCUCAACACUGCUCACUGGGGGGACCGGUCUCUCCCUCCAGGGACCGGUCCCCGAGAGUAAAAACUCUCAGGACUUGUCCAAAGUUCCAGUUUUCGAACUUUUCGGGUCGGGGAACAUUUUACAACCCUCCACCAAGUGUGGAAAAGCUCGAAAUACAACCAAACACUCGAACCUCCCAAUUUGCAAAGGUCCAGUGUGUUACAGGGCAGGUGCUACGGAUGUGGUCAGCCGGGACACAUGAGGGCAGCUUGUCCCCGAGCAACGUCUCCAGCACCAUCAUCAGCUUCAGCACCACCAUCACCAUAGCAGUCUUACGGAGCAGCGCCGAGUUACCGCCAGGAGGACAGAUCGUCUGUGCCGCGGUCGAGUGAGCGGCGACAGCAGGCUCCGAGUGGCAGAGUCUACGCAGCUCAGGUGGAGGAAUCUACAGUAGCCGACCGAGUGGUGGCAGGUAUCACUUUGAUUUCUGGCAUUAGAGUUCGCACUCUUUUUGAUACCGGUGCAUCGCAUUCCUUUGUUAGCCGAGCAUUUGCACAGUUACAUGGUCUAGAGUUAGGAGCGUUGUCUCAGGCACGAGAGGUGCAGAUCCCAGACCAUGUUUUGCCUGUGGUGGAGUGUUGUUGGUCAUGUCCGGUGCAGCUAGACUCGUGGAUUAUGCCCGCAGACCUGUUGGUGUUAGGGCGGCUGCAGAACUUCGACGUUGUGCUCGGUAUGGAUUGGCUGGCGCGGUACUAUGCUACGAUCGACUGUGGAGUGAGGACGGUGACGUUCCGUGAGCCAGGCCAGGAGUUCACUUUCAGAGGCUGUAGGAGCACGCUGUUUGCUACUUGGAUAUCUUUGGCGAGGGCUCGAUAGAUGCUAAGUAGUGGGUGUCUCGCUUUUCUAGCGACUGUUGUGGAGAUACCUACGGCGGCGCCGGGACUUGAGGACAUCCCAGUAGUCCGCGAGUUUCCGGACGUGUUUUCCUCCUGAGUUGACGACGUUGCCGCCGGAAAGGGAGAUUGAGUUUGUGAUUGAUGUAGUUCCUGGAACUGCACCAAUCUCAAAGGUACCUUAUCGGAUGGCGCCGGCAGAGCUGAGAGAGCUAAAGGCACAGCUUCAGGAUCUGAUGGAUAGAGGGUUUGUGAGACCCAGUGUGUCGCCUUGGGGAGCGCCGGUGUUAUUUGUAAAGAAGAAGGAUGGUUCGCUCAGGUUAUGUGUGGAUUACUGGAAGCUGAAUAAAGUGACCAUCAAGAAUAAGUAUCCCUUGCCGCGUAUUGAUGAUUUGUUUGAUCAGCUGCAGGGAUCUUAUGUCUUCUCGAAGAUUGAUCUCCAGUCAGGUUACCACCAGCUGAGGGUGAGGGCCGAGGAUGUUCCCAAGACGGCUUUUCGGACUCGGUACGGGCAUUAUGAGUUCACGGUGAUGCCUUUUGGAUUGACGAAUGCCCCUGCCGCAUUCAUGGAUUUGAUGAACAGAGUGUUCAAGCCGUUCUUGGAUAGGUUUGUGGUAGUCUUCAUCGACGAUAUCCUGAUUUACUCCCGGAGUGAUGCUGAGCAUGAGGAGCACUUGAGGAUUGUGCUACAGCUUCUGCGCGAGAAGAAGUUGUAUGCCAAGUUAAAGAAGUGCGAGUUCUGGCUACGGGAGGUUGCUUUCUUGGGCCACGUGAUUUCAGCUGAGGGCGUAGCAGUGGACCCGAAGAAGAUUGAGGCGAUUCGAGAUUGGCCUAGACCGACGACGGUGACUGAGGUACGGAGCUUCCUGGGACUGGCAGGAUAUUACCGUCGGUUUGUGGAAGGCUUUGCGAAGCUUUCCACACCCCUCACACGCUUGACGCGGAAGGGGAUUCGUUUUGUCUGGAGCGACGACUGUCAGAGGAGCUUUGACGAGUUGAGACUGAGGUUGACGUCGGCUCCUAUCCUUGCCCUUCCGGUGAUGGGGGAUGGAUUCGUGAUCUACAGUGAUGCAUCGCACAGUGGACUUGGUUGCGUGCUGAUGCAGCAUGGUAGGGUGAUUGCUUAUGCUUCACGGCAAUUAAAGGAUUAUGAGAAGAAUUACCCUACGCAUGACUUGGAGCUUGCCGCGGUGGUUUUUGCUUUGAAGCUCUGGCGGCAUUACUUGUAUGGCGAGCACUGCGAGGUCUUCACCGAUCAUAAAAGUCUCAAAUAUCUGUUCACACAGAGGGAGCUGAACCUGAGGCAGCGCCGGUGGUUGGAGUUAUUGAAGGACUAUGACAUUAGUAUUCAGUAUCAUCCCGGCAGGGCGAAUGUUGUGGCAGAUGCGUUGAGCAGGAAAUCAGUGCAGAGCCUGAGUUUGAGGAUCACUGAGCAGAGACCCCCUACUCGAGGAGCUUCAGCGGCUGGGACUCGAGAUAGUACCCCCUGGGUCUACGGCGAGGCUGACGUCUCUAGUUUUACAAUCCACUCUGUUGGAUAGGAUCCGAGAGAAACAGAGUGGAGAUCCGUACUUGUUGAGGAUUAGAGAGCAGCUAGACAGGGGGCAUGCUGAGGGUUUUGCUUUAGACAGUUCGGGAGUACUACGGUACAGGGACCGACUGUGUGUGCCUGUGGAUUCUGAGAUUCGAGUAUACAUUCUGAGAGAGGCUCAUUGUUCUCCUUAUACGGUUCACCCUGGGGGAACCAAGAUGUAUAAGGAUCUUAAGGCACGGUUCUGGUGGCUUGGAAUGAAGAGGGACAUUGGCAGAUUUGUGGUUCAGUGUUUGACUUGCCAACAGGUGAAGACCGAGCAUCAGGUGCCUGCUGGCAAGCUUCAGAGUCUGCCAGGGCCCGAGUGGAAGUACGAGUACAUCACGAUGGACUUCGUCGUUGGAUUGCCUAGAGCGCAGUGUGGCUACGACGCGAUUUGGGUGAUAGUGGACAGACUUACCAAGUCUGCUCACUUCCUACCGGUUCAAACUACCUAGUCCAGAGAGAUACUCGCGCAGCUAUACCUGGAUGAGAUUGUUAGGCUGCACGGCGUGCCAGUGUCGAUUGUGUCAGACAGAGACCCGAGGUUUGUAUCCUAGUUUUGGAGGAGUCUUCAGACCGCCUUGGGCACUCAGCUGCAUUUUAGCACGGCAUUCCACCCACAGACAGAUGGUCAGUCAGAGCGGACCAUACAGACUCUAGGGGACAUGCUGAGGGCACGCGUCCUAGAUUUUGGAGGAGGGUGAUAUCGACAUGUGAGACUGGUUGAGUUUGCGUACAACAACAGCUAUCAAACGAGCAUUCAGAUGGCUCCGUUUGAGGCGUUGUAUGGACGCAGAUGUCGAUCCCCCCUAUUUUGGAGCGAUGUGGGUGAGCGGAGGACACUUGGACAGGACAUUCUACUUGAGGCUGAGGAAAAGGUGAGAGUUGUUCGACGACACCUUUUGACAACCCAGAGCCGCCAGAGGAGCUACGCCGAUACCAGGAGACGAGACUUAGAGUUUCAGAUUGGAGAUCAUGUUUUCCUCAAAGCCUCGUCGUCCACAGGGAUACGCCGAUUUGGGGUACGUGGAAAGCUCAGUCCACGGUUCGUUGGCCUUUUCGAGAUAUUGGAACGAGUUGGACUGGUUGCUUACAGAAUAGCUCUACCCCCGCGACUUGCUGGCAUCCACGAUGUUUUCCACGUCUCAGCUUUGAGGAGAUUCAUUUUCGAUCCCUCUCACGUGAUCGACUUUACUCCACUCGAGAUUGGCGAGGAUCUGAGAUACGAGGAGCGACCGUUGCGGAUUCUUGCUCGAGAGACGAAAGAAUUACGCAACCGGAUCAUUCCGUAUGUGAAAGUGCAGUGGAGCAAUCACGAGGAGCGGGAGGCGACUUGGGAGCCUGAGACAGUGAUGAGGGAGUCUUACCCAAACAUGUUUGAUUCUUAGAGUUGAGGUAUGUGCUAAGUUUCGAGGACGAAACUUUUUGUAGUGGGGAGCAUGUAGUAUCCUUAUAUAUAUAUAUAUAUAUAUAUAAUGCCACGUGCCCCCAUGCAUGUAUUUCAUGCUUAUCUAAUUAGAGGGUUGUACAUGCCUCCUUAAUUAAAAUUUCCUCCCACUCUAUCUCUGGAGCCAUACGCGAGGAGGAGAAGCUUGGGUGGAGCGUUCGUCGCCGACGUCGCGCCGCGAGCCGUUCGAGCGCGCUUGUUGCCGGAGCUUUGCGAGGAGGCCGGGCGAGGGAGCGUCUUCACUGUUCUUGACGUCGCGCCGAGGUUCGACGCUGUCGUAUCGUCGAACGUCAGUGUUUGGCUGCGAUACUUAGCGUAGAACGUCGCGUAUUCAACCGGGCAUUUGAGGUUGAUUGGCUUCAGGACUUCGAGAGACAGAAAUCCACGAAAGCCCUUAUUUGCUGGAUUGGUGAAGGGUUUUCUAAGGUUCGUAUCCCUAUUUCUUUCUGCGCCUGCUGCUUUUGGCAAAUUGAUGCUUAAUAUGGAUUUCUAUGUUUUAACCCGUGGAGCGUGUUUGCUCGCUGGUUCGGGGAGCUGCGCCGAGCUUGAUAGGAACUCCGUACCUUCUUCACCAAUCGGGGAUUUGCGAUUAAGGUGGGUUAAUCUAUCGGUUUAUCCUAAGUGCCUAUAUAAUCGAACAUGUAAUUGUGGAAUUUCUUUUGUGUGGCGCAAUUGCUCGGUUUUCAUUGAUUUAGUAUCGGUUAAUAAUCUGAAUUGGAACUGAGUUAUUAUCUUUGGAUAUAUAUAUCAUGUUGGACUUGGAUAAGAUUUAGGAGGAAAACUCGCGAUUAUGAUGUCAUAUAUUUAAACUUACCUGAUUUAGCUCUAGAAAGCGUUGUAUUAAUUGUUAUACUGUAGCAGUAUCCUAUAGUGAGUAUUCCAGAUAGUUUAGCUUUCAGUUACGCUCGUGCCGGGAUGCCGAGUAUAUUUUACAGUAGCGUUCAACUGUUCCGGACUGUUGGGUGCCGUCGGGUCGUUGACGGUGGACCCGUAUCGCCUUUUGGCGUCGGAUUGUGCGAGGGCACGUUACUAUUGGUUGUUAGACCAGUUUGAGUCGCUUACUGGACUUUGGCUUUGAGAGCCGAUUGAGCUGACAGAGAUACGCUGUAUACUCGGUUGGCGGGGUAUUUAUUAAGGGGGCUCCCACGAGUGCCACUCCGGAGUCAGGCUUUGUGCUUUCGCGUUGGUGUCGCUCAUGCCGGUUGGACUUGCUCUCCACGGACUAGUAGUGUGGAGGUAGCUGGAUAAUCACAACCGGGCAGUGACGGGUGUGUUCACAGUCCCAGGGACGGGUAUGCUUACAGUUCCGAUUGGAUUGGGUCAGAUUUGACAUUUUCUACAGUUGGUUAGUAUAGAGCAUGAUAGUGUAGUGAUUCAUAGCGGUAGAUUUUAUUCCUGUAUUUACUACUAUUCUGG
This 9917-nucleotide long non-coding RNA is filed under the name Ananas comosus (pineapple). RNAcentral's name for it is "long non-coding RNA (ACOM_LNC002187)". Lineage: Eukaryota; Viridiplantae; Streptophyta; Magnoliopsida; Poales; Bromeliaceae. The record is from RNAcentral.